Rattus norvegicus (Norway rat) is the source of this 2763-nucleotide non-coding RNA. The record is from RefSeq and is a predicted model, not a curated record. NCBI's taxonomy places the organism in Eukaryota, Metazoa, Chordata, Mammalia, Rodentia, Muridae.
AGGUGACCCCAGCCAGUGGCUUGUCCUUUGUGGGUCUUAGUGUUCUCCUGGGUAAGGGGCACACCUCAGCCAGGGCUGCUGAGGUAACAAAGGAUGAAUCCUAUGUGAUGCCGAGACUGUCCCUGCCAGUACUGAAGACUAGAACAUCACAGCUUUGCCUGUCACGCCAGGAUGGACCAAGGAAACAUCGAGAACCAAAGCCCAGACUCUUCUGAAGCACCAAAGCCAGUGUGGAAGGGUUUGGAUGGAAGGUUAGUCAACAAGAGUCACAACAGUGGUGUUUUUCUCAGUGGCCUGAAAUGGCUGGUCUGCCACAGUGGCCUGGGUACCCCGCUCCUUCGUAACCUAGGUGGGCAGGGCAAGUACCCAAUUAGCCCUGCUUGGACCUCCCACGAGAUUGAUUUUUGUGUGGCAAAUGAAGGGACAGACCCCCCCACACACCAGCAACCAACAAAACCUCAGGUAGGAUACCCACAGCUCCCACAGAAAGCCAAUCUCUCACGCAGGACAGAGGCCUCCUGGGAGGGGCAGUGUGAGAACAGGCGAAGGUUGUGUGUGUCAGCCAGAGUGGGGCGCUGGGGAGGGGGGCAGCAGCUCAGGUCUGUGGAGACAGAACAGUGUGUUAGAGAGGCAACCACACAGGCCUGUGCCCAACAGUCCCAAGGAAGCACACAAACCCCUGGCUGUUCGACAAGGCUUGGGAGAGAGGAAGUGGGAAGGAAGAGAGAAGGAAACAGAACUAGCUGGAGCUGCCUGAGGUGCACAGUUCAUAGCUUCACCCACAGACUCCAGCAACUGGCUUGCCAGGGGCAUUCUACACUGAGGACCCUUUCUGAGGGAAGCUGGUGUUUUCCAAAAAUAGCUGCCAGGUCAGAAUUGCUUUCCACUCAGAGGUGGGAAGACGGAAAAUUCCAGAAACCCCCCUAUGUAAUGUAAUGAGGCCUUUCACGGCUCACCCAACAGACUCUGGAAAACAGUAAACAACUGACCAGCUGUUUAGAGAGUACUAAAGGGUCUCCUUUAAGAGAGCUAAAGCUGGAAUCUAGUGCGGCGUGUUAUCCACGCACCCGUGUGGCUCCAGAAGCAGUGACCUCGGAGAGACCACCUCUGGAUGUGCUGUCACGGUUGGACAUGGUUACCUCUGAAGCUCAGACAGAAUUUCGUCCCCAGGCUGGGGAAACGACUCAGUAGUUAAAUGCUUGUCAUGCAAGCGUGAGGAUAUGUAUUCUUAGAACCCACUUAAACACUAGGCAUGCAUCAUAGUACACACCCGUAAUUCCAGAACUCCUGUGGCAAGGGGUGAGGCAGGAGAAUAUCAGGAAGUUCAAGGGCCAGUGAGCUUGGUGCUCAGAGUAGCAGGUCACAGGAAAUCCUGUUGUCGAACAAGGUAGAAGGUGAGAGCCACUACCCAGCAUUGUCCUCUGACCUUCAUGUGUUUGCCAUGGCACAUAUACACUCUGGCACAUGGGAUGCUCAGCCCAGGGACUGGCACUACUAGGAGGUGUGGCCUUGCUGGAGUGGGUGUGGCCUUGUUGGAGUGGGUGUGGCCUUGCUGGAGUGGGUGUGUCACUGUGGGCGUGGCCUUGACACCCUCAUCCUAGCUGCCUGGAAGCCAGUCUUCUCCUAGCAGCCUUCAGAUGAAGAUGUAGAACUCUCAGCUCCUCCUGCACCAUGCCUGCCUGGAUGCUGCCAUGUUCCUACCUUCAUGAUAAUGGACUGAACCUCUAAACCUCCUUCCAAAUAACCAGUGUUCACAGAUGAACACCACUAUGUAAAACAAGAAGAAAAGAGCAAGAAAUCAAGGCCAUCUUGAUGUACAUUGACCAGAGCACCGGAAUCAGGCAAGCAUCCUCUGAAUGAAGAAAGGGGAUUUCUAGUCCCGAGAAGAGCCUUUGUUCCAGCUUAGCCUUGGGCAGACACAGCCUUUUCCCGUAACAACACAGCAGGAGCAUUGCAAAUCUUCAGACCUGAGGACUUAUGGGCCAGAUUUUAAAAUAUGACUAAUUCACAUUCAAAACCAAGGAACUGUAAUGGGAGAUCACCUUUGUCAGUGAGGAUGUAAAACCGGAACUCGGCCCUUCUGUACUACACAGAAAAGAGCAUUCCCACCCAAUCGCACUAGGCUCAUUAGCACCCUACAGUGAACGCUAACAUGCUUUGAGCCGGCCCAACUGUUUCUGAAAAGGGAUUCUUUUGUUUAAAAAGAGACAGCGUUACCGAUGGGGUCUGGGGGUGGGGCGCACGACAGUGUGGGACACUGAAAAUAGCUGUCAGAAUAGCAGUAAUGUGUAUGACUGAAGACACCAUCAGACAAGUUCUUCUCAGUGUUUAUGAUGUCAGAAAAGGAAUGGGCAAGGGUGGAUAUUUAAACAGACUCUUGGCUCCUGUAGCCCGCAGGUUUUUGUUUCUUGGGGUUUAGAGAGAUUCAGAAUGAGGCUUGGAUAAGAACUAGCCCAUGAAGAAGUGGGGGAAUUUCAAAAAGAUGUUAUCUGUGUUUUGCACCCAUGGCUCCCUAGUGAGAAGAGGAAGGUAAGUCAUGGCUGCACUCUCCUGCCCCUGCUUCAGAAUGUUUGUAAAAGCUUUUAUCUGUAAACAGCGACCUUGGAGGGCAGCACACAGAGCCAGGUCCUGGUCCAGGUGCUGUCGAAAGCAUCUGCCCGGGGCCGUCCAGUCUGGCCCCAGGCUCAUGGUGCCCCACGAGGCUGCCACCCUCUCUGGAGAAUGCAAAUGUAUUAAACGUUAAAAAACAAAACAAAAACAAAA